RNAcentral lists this transfer RNA (73 nucleotides) under Amphiura sinicola. RNAcentral's name for it is "tRNA-Leu". It matches the Rfam family "tRNA". Rfam says of the family: Transfer RNA (tRNA) molecules are approximately 80 nucleotides in length. Their secondary structure includes four short double-helical elements and three loops (D, anti-codon, and T loops). Further hydrogen bonds mediate the characteristic L-shaped molecular structure. tRNAs have two regions of fundamental functional importance: the anti-codon, which is responsible for specific mRNA codon recognition, and the 3' end, to which the tRNAs corresponding amino acid is attached (by aminoacyl-tRNA synthetases). tRNAs cope with the degeneracy of the genetic code in two manners: having more than one tRNA (with a specific anti-codon) for a particular amino acid; and 'wobble' base-pairing, i.e. permitting non-standard base-pairing at the 3rd anti-codon position. Lineage: Eukaryota; Metazoa; Echinodermata; Ophiuroidea; Amphilepidida; Amphiuridae. The record is from RNAcentral.
AGUAAGUAUACCACAAUAGUAGUGGGUUUGUCUUAGGAACAAAACAUAAUAGUUCAACUCUAUUUACUUACUA